Molecule: long non-coding RNA, 634 nt
Filed under: Lactuca sativa (garden lettuce)
Lineage: Eukaryota; Viridiplantae; Streptophyta; Magnoliopsida; Asterales; Asteraceae
Description: long non-coding RNA (LSAT_LNC009442)
Source: RNAcentral
GAAAAUCUACGGUUCUCAACCUUUCAACAAUAAGCAGACAUAUAGUUAUGGUUAUGAAGAACCACCCUCUGUUGGAGCUGUGAGGAAAAUCUGCGCUUCUCAUGAACCUUUCAACAAUAAGCAGAUAUAUAGUUAUGGUUAUGGAGAACCACCCUCUGCUGGAGCUGUGAGGAAAAUCUACGAUUCUCAACCUUUCAACGACGACCAUAUAUAUAAUGAUGUAAAACCACCGGCUAUUGGAGCUGUGAGGCAAGUAUUAGGUUCUCAACCUUUCAACAAUAAGCAGACAUAUAGUUAUGGUUAUGAAGAACCACCCUCUGUUGGAGCUGUGAGGAAAAUCUGCGCUUCUCGUGAACCUUUCAACAAUAAGCAGAUAUAUAGUUAUGGUUAUGGAGAACCACCCUCUGCUGGAGCUGUGAGGAAAAUCUACGAUUCUCAACCUUUCAACGACGACCAUAUAUAUAAUGAUGUAAAACCACCGGCUAUUGGAGCUGUGAGGCAAGUAUUAGGUUCUCAACCUUUCAACAGUGACCAUAAAUAUAAUUAUGGAGAACCACUGUCCGUUGGCGCUGUGAGGCAAAUCAAAGGUUCUCAACCUUUCAACAAUGACCGGAUAUAUAAUUAUAGACAACUA